Molecule: ribosomal RNA, 253 nt
Filed under: uncultured prokaryote
Description: partial 16S ribosomal RNA
Rfam family: Bacterial small subunit ribosomal RNA
Source: RNAcentral
UACGUAGGGUCCAAGCGUUAUCCGGAAUCACUGGGCGUAAAGCGUGCGUAGGUGGCGCGUUAAGUGAGAUGUGAAAUCGUGUGGCUCAACCAUAUCGAUGUGUCUCAUACUGGCGUGCUAGAGGACGGCAGAGGCAAGUGGAACUCGUAGUGUAGCAGUGAAAUGCGUAGAUAUUACGAAGAACACCAAUGGCGAAGGCAGCUUGCUGGGCCACUCCUGACACUGAGGUACGAAAGCGUGGGGAGCGAACAGG